CAGGCCUAACACAUGCAAGUCGGACGGUAGCACAGAGAGCUUGCUCUCGGGUGACGAGUGGCGGACGGGUGAGUAAUGUCUGGGGAUCUGCCCGAUAGAGGGGGAUAACCACUGGAAACGGUGGCUAAUACCGCAUAACGUCGCAAGACCAAAGAGGGGGACCUUCGGGCCUCUUGCCAUCGGAUGUGCCCAGAUGGGAUUAGCUAGUAGGUGGGGUAACGGCUCACCUAGGCGACGAUCCCUAGCUGGUCUGAGAGGAUGACCAGCCACACUGGAACUGAGACACGGUCCAGACUCCUACGGGAGGCAGCAGUGGGGAAUAUUGCACAAUGGGCGCAAGCCUGAUGCAGCCAUGCCGCGUGUAUGAAGAAGGCCUUCGGGUUGUAAAGUACUUUCAGCGGGGAGGAAGGCGAUGAGGUUA
Molecule: ribosomal RNA, 421 nt
Filed under: uncultured bacterium
Lineage: Bacteria
Description: bacterial SSU rRNA
Rfam family: Bacterial small subunit ribosomal RNA
Source: RNAcentral